This 403-nucleotide ribosomal RNA is filed under the name uncultured bacterium. Its description in RNAcentral is "partial 16S ribosomal RNA". It matches the Rfam family "Bacterial small subunit ribosomal RNA", at positions 28 to 526 of the family's 1533-position model. The record is from RNAcentral.
GACGAACGCUGGCGGCGUGCCUAAUACAUGCAAGUCGAACGCAGUGGGGACGGGUGAGUAACACGUGGGUAACCUCCCAUCAGAGGGGAUAACACUUGGAAACAGGUGCUAAACCGAUACUGAUGGAUGGACCCGCGGUGCAUUAGCUAGUUGGUGAGGUAACGGCUCACCAAGGCGACGAUCCCUAGCCGAUCUGAGAGGGGGAACGGCCAUACGGGGACUGAGACACGGCCCAGACUCCUACGGGAGGCAGCAGUGGGGAAUUUUGGGCAAUGGGGGAAAGCCUGAGCCAGCCAUCCCGCGUGAGGGAAGAAGGCCUUCGGGUUGUAAAGCACUUUUGGCAGAGAAGCGGUACCUGCAGAAUAAGCACCGGCUAACUACGUGCCAGCAGCCGCGGUAAUUC